RNAcentral lists this unclassified non-coding RNA (152 nucleotides) under uncultured Pleosporales. RNAcentral's name for it is "sequence contains ITS1". Lineage: Eukaryota; Fungi; Ascomycota; Dothideomycetes; Pleosporales. The record is from RNAcentral.
CGAAAUUCGGCGCGCUUCGGCGCUGCCUUAUUCACCCACCCUUUGUCUACGUGUACCUCUAUAGCUUCCUCGGCGGGCUCGCCCGCCGCCAGGAACCCACAAAACCCCUUGCAUUAUACACGAAAACUUCUGAUAACAAACCUAAAUUAUCA